GGUUGUAGUUGUGGUUGAGGGGGUAGUUGUGGUUGUGGUUGAGGUUUAGGGUUAGGGUUGUGGUUGUAGUUGUGGUUGAGGGUUAGGGUUAGGGUUAGGUUGUGGUUGUGGUUUAGGGUUAGGGUUAGGGUUGUGGUUGUAGUUGUGGUUGAGGGUUAGGGUUAGGGUUAGGGUUAGGGUUAGGGUUAGGGUUGUGGUUAUAGUUGUAGUUUAGUUGUGGUUGAGGUUGAGGGUUAGGGUUAGGGUUAGGGUUGAGGCUAGGGUUAGUGAUGUGGUUGAGGCUAGGGUUAGGGUUAGGGUUGAGGCUAGGGUCAGGAUUAGGGUUGAGGGUUAGGGUUAGGGUUGAGGCUAGAGUUAGGUUUAGGGUUGAGGCUAGGGUUAGUGAUGUGGUUGAGGCUAGGGUUAGGAUUAGGGUUAGGGUUAGGGUUAGGGUUAGGGUUGAGGCUAGGGUUAGGGUUAGGGUUGAGGCUAGGGUUAGAGUUAGGGUUGCGGCUAGGGUUAGUGAUGUGGUUGAGGCUAGGGUUAGGGUUGGGGAUAGGGUUAGGGUUAGGGUUGAGGCUAGGGUUAGGGUUGAGGCUAGGGUUAGUGAUGUGGUUGAGGCUAGGGUUAGGGUUAGGGUUAGGGUUGAGGCUAGGGCUAGGGCUAGGGUUAGGGUUGGGGUUAGGGUUAGGGUUGAGGCUAGGGUUAGGGUUGAGACUAGGGUUAGGUUUGUGGUUGAGGCUAGGGUUAGGUUUGUGGUGGAGGCUAGGGUUAGGGUUAGGGUUGUGGUUUAGGCUAGGGUUAGGGUUGUGGUUGUGGUUGUAGUUGUGGUUUAGGGUUCGGGUUAGGGUUGUGGUUGUGGUUGUAGUUAGGGUUGAGGGUUAGAGGGUUAGGGUUAGGGUUAGGGUUAGGGUUAGGGUGGU
This is a long non-coding RNA of Oncorhynchus tshawytscha (Chinook salmon), 902 nucleotides long. NCBI's taxonomy places the organism in Eukaryota, Metazoa, Chordata, Actinopteri, Salmoniformes, Salmonidae. The record is from Ensembl.